Homo sapiens (human) is the source of this 882-nucleotide long non-coding RNA. Ensembl annotates it as family with sequence similarity 242 member A. Its record names the gene FAM242A. The record is from Ensembl. Lineage: Eukaryota; Metazoa; Chordata; Mammalia; Primates; Hominidae.
AGGGUUUCCCAGAGGAAGAGAGAGAAUUUGGACAAAUGAAUGAGGAACAACGCUCUCCUGAGGGUUUUCUUUAAGGGGCGAGGAUCACUGCCGCUAGCUCCUUUGAAAGCAAAGUUAAGAGGCAGCGCAGGAAGGCACAGCAGGAAGGCUCAUGGUUAGACUACAGAGAAGGAAGCAGCCACUGCUGGGGACCUACCCUGUGCUGGUCACUGACAAGCUGUCUCAUUAAACCUUCCCGGACCCUCAACCCCUCCUAGUAUCUUAUCCUCAUUUUACAGAUGAGAAGACUGCGGCCAAGAGAGGUCCAAUGCCAGUGGGAUCAGCUUCGAUGGGAUGCGCACAGACUGACCUCUUCUCCCCAGCCCCUUCAACUUCCCAGAGCUGCAGGGGGCCUGGGAGUUCUUGGUAACAGCACAUUAAACCUCUGUUUGUGGGAACUUUAAUUUAAACACAAAUUAGAGAAGGCAAAUGACUCUGGCAGCCAGAUAAGCCAUCCCAGGAAAACAAGGAGAAAGCCAAGAGAAUCAGCCCAGAUAAGGUCUGACUUUAAACUACUGCUGAUACCCAGAAGCCUGGGACAGAUGAAAUCUAGGGGUCCUGAAUGAAGAACCCCAGAAGCUCCACACCCCAGUUGUCCUUGCUCUGGGCUCUAUGCCAGCUCCCUUUCCUGUGUUCUCUAUAUUUCUAUCUUUUUGCAAAAUUUUAUCCUGAUUCUUUGGCUCCAUCCCUCCCACCCCCACCCUACUGUUUUAGAGAAUGCACUUUCUUUACUUUGCUUCUCAUCUUCUUCUGUGACCUACUAUUCUGAGAAAGUUCUACUUGUUAUCUAACCUCCAUCUAUGCUACUACCUUUAGAGUCUAAUACAUCCUGCUUAGUGAUAA